CAGUUGGUUCUUAUUUUAUUGGUUUUACGGACCAAUGUCAUGAUGAAUAGGGACAGUUGGGGGCAUUCGUAUUCCGAAGCUAGAGGUGAAAUUCUUGGAUUUUCGGAAGACGAACUACUGCGAAAGCAUUUGCCAAGGAUGUUUUCAUUAAUCAAGAACGAAAGUUAGGGGAUCGAAGACGAUUAGAUACCGUCGUAGUCUUAACCAUAAAUGAUGCCGACUAGGGAUCGGUAAACGUCAACAUUGACUUUAUCGGCACCUUACGAGAAAUCAAAGUUUUUGGGUUCUGGGGGGAGUAUGGUCGCAAGUCUGAAACUUAAAGGAAUUGACGGAAGGGCACCACCAGGAGUGGAGCCUGCGGCUUAAUUUGACUCAACACGGGGAAACUCA
This 390-nucleotide ribosomal RNA is filed under the name fungal sp. RNAcentral describes it as "SSU rRNA". It matches the Rfam family "Eukaryotic small subunit ribosomal RNA", at positions 826 to 1217 of the family's 1831-position model. The record is from RNAcentral. Lineage: Eukaryota; Fungi.